AUUGAACGCUGGCGGCAUGCUUUACACAUGCAAGUCGAACGGUAACAGGUUAAGCUGACGAGUGGCGAACGGGUGAGUAAUGCAUCGGAACGUGCCCGAUCGUGGGGGAUAACGCAGCGAAAGCUGCGCUAAUACCGCAUACGAUCUGAGGAUGAAAGCGGGGGACCGUAAGGCCUCGCGCGAUCGGAGCGGCCGAUGUCAGAUUAGGUAGUUGGUGGGGUAAAGGCUCACCAAGCCGACGAUCUGUAGCUGGUCUGAGAGGACGACCAGCCACACUGGGACUGGGACACGGGCCAGACUCCGACGGGAGGCAGCAGUGGGGAAUUUUGGACAAUGGGCGAAAGCCUGAUCCAGCAAUGCCGCGUGCAGGAAGAAGGCCUUCGGGUUGUAAACUGCUUUUGUACGGAGCGAAAAGGCUCUCUCUAAUACAGGGGGCUCAUGACGGUACCGUAAGAAUAAGCACCGGCUAACUACGUGCCAGCCGCCGUAAAAC
This 493-nucleotide ribosomal RNA is filed under the name uncultured bacterium. RNAcentral describes it as "partial 16S ribosomal RNA". It matches the Rfam family "Bacterial small subunit ribosomal RNA", at positions 29 to 526 of the family's 1533-position model. The record is from RNAcentral.